This 244-nucleotide ribosomal RNA is filed under the name uncultured bacterium. RNAcentral's name for it is "partial 16S ribosomal RNA". It matches the Rfam family "Bacterial small subunit ribosomal RNA", at positions 533 to 776 of the family's 1533-position model. The record is from RNAcentral.
UGCGAGCGUUAAUCGGAAUUACUGGGCGUAAAGCGCGCGUAGGCGGCUUUGCAAGUCGGGUGUGAAAUCCCCAGGCUUAACCUGGGAACUGCAUUCGAGACUGCAUUGCUAGAGUAUGGGAGAGGGAAGUGGAAUUUCCGGUGUAGCGGUGAAAUGCGUAGAUAUCGGAAGGAACAUCAGUGGCGAAAGCGACUUCCUGGACCAAUACUGACGCUCAUGUGCGAAAGCGUGGGGAGCAAACAGG